Heteronotia binoei (common prickly gecko) is the source of this 330-nucleotide non-coding RNA. Lineage: Eukaryota; Metazoa; Chordata; Lepidosauria; Squamata; Gekkonidae. The record is from the annotation of a RefSeq genome assembly.
AUGGAGCUGAAAGGUGUCCUCUCAGAAGCCCAGCUGGUGGAGUCUGGAGGAGAGGUCAAAAGGUCUGGAGAGUCCCUUCGCCUUUCCUGUCGAGCCUCUGGGUACAGUUUUGAUGACUAUGAGAUGGACUGGGUGAGACAGUCUCCAGGGAAGGGUCUGGAAUGGCUGGCAGAGAUAAACGGUGGUGGGGGCAUCCAAAACUAUGCCAGCUCGGUGCGAGGGCGCUUCACCAUCUCCAGGGACAACCCUUCCAGCAUGCUGUAUCUGCAAAUGAACAGCUUGAAACCUGAGGACACAGCUCGGUAUUACUGUGCCAGAGACACACAGUGA